This 73-nucleotide transfer RNA is filed under the name Acanthophippium sylhetense. Its description in RNAcentral is "partial tRNA-Leu". It matches the Rfam family "tRNA", at positions 11 to 69 of the family's 71-position model. Rfam says of the family: Transfer RNA (tRNA) molecules are approximately 80 nucleotides in length. Their secondary structure includes four short double-helical elements and three loops (D, anti-codon, and T loops). Further hydrogen bonds mediate the characteristic L-shaped molecular structure. tRNAs have two regions of fundamental functional importance: the anti-codon, which is responsible for specific mRNA codon recognition, and the 3' end, to which the tRNAs corresponding amino acid is attached (by aminoacyl-tRNA synthetases). tRNAs cope with the degeneracy of the genetic code in two manners: having more than one tRNA (with a specific anti-codon) for a particular amino acid; and 'wobble' base-pairing, i.e. permitting non-standard base-pairing at the 3rd anti-codon position. The record is from RNAcentral. Lineage: Eukaryota; Viridiplantae; Streptophyta; Magnoliopsida; Asparagales; Orchidaceae.
CGAAAUCGGUAGACGCUACGGACUUAAAAUCCGUCGAAUUUUGAAAUCGUGAGGGUUCAAGUCCCUCUAUCCC